RNAcentral lists this unclassified non-coding RNA (223 nucleotides) under Piskurozyma cylindrica. Its description in RNAcentral is "partial internal transcribed spacer 2". The record is from RNAcentral. Lineage: Eukaryota; Fungi; Basidiomycota; Tremellomycetes; Filobasidiales; Piskurozymaceae.
AACUUAUCAACCGUGACUUGGGUUUAGGCCCCUGGCUCGGCUUGGAUUUGGGUGCUUGCGGUCCGCCGCUCACCUCAAAAGGAUUAGCUGGACAUGUCGUGAGACUUGGUUCUACUUGGCGUAAUAAGUAUUUCGCUGAGGACAUCCCCUCGUGGGGUGGCCAUGACUCUGGUACAAACGUCUGCUUUCUAACCCGAUCGUCCUCGGACAUCACUUUUUUAUG